Molecule: ribosomal RNA, 435 nt
Filed under: uncultured Eubacteriales bacterium
Lineage: Bacteria; Bacillati; Bacillota; Clostridia; Eubacteriales
Description: bacterial SSU rRNA
Rfam family: Bacterial small subunit ribosomal RNA
Source: RNAcentral
AACGCGAAGAACCUUACCAAGUCUUGACAUCUAACUGACGUAUGGGUAACGCCAUAUUUCCUUCGGGACAGUUAAGACAGGUGGUGCAUGGUUGUCGUCAGCUCGUGUCGUGAGAUGUUGGGCUAAGUCCCGCAACGAGCGCAACCCCUGCCUUCAGUAGCCAGCAAGCAAGAUGGGAACUCUGAGGGGACUGCCCAGGAUAACUGGGAGGAAGGCGGGGAUGACGUCAAAUCAUCAUGCCCCUUAUGAUUUGGGCUACACACGUGCUACAAUGGCGUAAACAAAGGGAAGCGAAAUGGAGACAUGAAGCAAACCCCAGAAAUAACGUCUCAGUUCGGAUUGUAGUCUGCAACUCGACCACAUGAAGCUGGAAUCGCUAGUAAUCGCGGAUCAGAAUGCCGCGGUGAAUACGUUCCCGGGUCUUGUACACACGCA